AGGAAUAUUGGUCAAUGGCCGAGAGGCUGAACCAGCCAAGUCGCGUGAAGGAAGAAGGAUCUAUGGUUUGUAAACUUCUUUUAUAGGGGAAUAAAGUGGAGGACGUGUCCUUUUUUGUAUGUACCCUAUGAAUAAGCAUCGGCUAACUCCGUGCCAGCAGCCGCGGUAAUACGGAGGAUGCGAGCGUUAUCCGGAUUUAUUGGGUUUAAAGGGUGCGUAGGUGGUGAUUUAAGUCAGCGGUGAAAGUUUGUGGCUCAACCAUAAAAUUGCCGUUGAAACUGGGUUACUUGAGUGUGUUUGAGGUAGGCGGAAUGCGUGGUGUAGCGGUGAAAUGCAUAGAUAUCACGCAGAACUCCGAUUGCGAAGGCAGCUUACUAAACCAUAACUGACACUGAAGCACGAAAGCGUGGGGAUCAAACAGGAUUAGAUACCCUGGUAGUCCACGCAGUAAACGAUGAUUACUAGGAGUUUGCGAUACAAUGUAAGCUCUACAGCGAAAGCGUUAAGUAAUCCACCUGGGGAGUACGCCGGCAACGGUGAAACUCAAAGGAAUUGACGGGGGCCCGCACAAGCGGAGGAACAUGUGGUUUAAUUCGAUGAUACGCGAGGAACCUUACCCGGGUUUGAACGUAGUCUGACCGGAGUGGAAACACUCUUUCUAGCAAUAGCAGAUUACGAGGUGCUGCAUGGUUGUCGUCAGCUCGUGCCGUGAGGUGUCGGCUUAAGUGCCAUAACGAGCGCAACCCUUAUCACUAGUCACUAACAGGUGAAGCUGAGGACUCUGGUGAGACUGCCAGCGUAAGCUGUGAGGAAGGUGGGGAUGACGUCAAAUCAGCACGGCCCUUACAUCCGGGGCGACACACGUGUUACAAUGGCAUGGACAAAGGGCAGCUACCUGGUGACAGGAUGCUAAUCUCCAAACCAUGUCUCAGUUCGGAUCGGAGUCUGCAACCCGACUCCACGAAGCUGGAUUCGCUAGUAAUCGCGCAUCAGCCAUGGCGCGGUGAAUACGUUCCCG
This 1018-nucleotide ribosomal RNA is filed under the name uncultured bacterium. Its description in RNAcentral is "bacterial SSU rRNA". It matches the Rfam family "Bacterial small subunit ribosomal RNA", at positions 357 to 1376 of the family's 1533-position model. The record is from RNAcentral.